UAGCCGUAAACGAUACUCGCUAGGUGUCGGCCACGGUGCGACCGUUGUCGGUGCCGUAGGGAAGCCGUGAAGCGAGCCACCUGGGAAGUACGGCCGCAAGGCUGAAACUUAAAGGAAUUGGCGGGGGAGCACCGCAACGGGAGGAGCGUGCGGUUCAAUUGGAUUCAACGCCGGACAACUCACCAGGAGCGACAGCAGUAUGAUUGCCAGGUUGAUGGCCUUGCUUGACAAGCUGAGAGGGGUGCAUGGCGUAGUCGUGU
This 260-nucleotide ribosomal RNA is filed under the name uncultured archaeon. RNAcentral's name for it is "partial 16S ribosomal RNA". It matches the Rfam family "Archaeal small subunit ribosomal RNA", at positions 748 to 1009 of the family's 1478-position model. The record is from RNAcentral.